This 253-nucleotide ribosomal RNA is filed under the name uncultured bacterium. RNAcentral describes it as "partial 16S ribosomal RNA". It matches the Rfam family "Bacterial small subunit ribosomal RNA", at positions 524 to 776 of the family's 1533-position model. The record is from RNAcentral.
UACGUAAGUCCCAAGCGUUACCCGGAAUUAUUGGGUGUAAAGGGUCCGUAGGCGGACUCAUAAGUUGGAUAUGAAAGACCGAGGCUCAACCUCGAGUUUGUAUCCAAAACUGUGAGUCUAGAAUUAGGGAGAGGUUAGCGGAAUUCUUAGUGUAGGGGUGCAAUCCGUAGAUACUAAGAAGAACACCAAAAGCGAAGGCAGCUAACUGGAACUAUAUUGACGCUGAGGGACGAAAGCGUGGGGAGCGAAGAGG